RNAcentral lists this ribosomal RNA (289 nucleotides) under uncultured actinomycete. RNAcentral's name for it is "partial 16S ribosomal RNA". It matches the Rfam family "Bacterial small subunit ribosomal RNA", at positions 220 to 526 of the family's 1533-position model. Lineage: Bacteria; Bacillati; Actinomycetota; Actinomycetes; Actinomycetales. The record is from RNAcentral.
AUUGGAUGAGCCCGCGGCCUAUCAGCUUGUUGGCGAGGUAGUGACUCACCAAGGCGACGACGGGUAGCCGGCCUGAGAGGGCGACCGGCCACACUGGGACUGAGACACGGCCCAGACUCCUACGGGAGGCAGCAGUGGGGAAUAUUGCGCAAUGGGCGAAAGCCUGACGCAGCGACGCAGCGUGAGGGACGAAGGCCUUCGGGUUGUAAACCGCUUUUACCAGGGACGAUAAUGACGGUACCUGAUGAAUAAGUCACGGCUAACUACGUGCCAGCAGCCGCGGCCGAAU